GACGAACGCUGGCGGCGUGCCUAAUACAUGCAAGUCGAACGAAGCUUUUUUAACUGGUGCUUGCACCGACUCAAACAACUGAGUGGCGAACGGGUGAGUAACACGUGGGUAACCUGCCCCAAAGCGGGGGAUAACAUUUGGAAACAGAUGCUAAUACCGCAUAACCACAGAAACCACAUGGUUUCUGUGUCAAAGAUGGUUUCGGCUAUCACUUUGGGAUGGACCCGCGGCGUAUUAGCUAGUUGGUAAGGUAAUGGCUUACCAAGGCAAUGAUACGUAGCCGAACUGAGAGGUUGAUCGGCCACAUUGGGACUGAGACACGGCCCAAACUCCUACGGGAGGCAGCAGUAGGGAAUCUUCCACAGUGGACGAAAGUCUGAUGGAGCAACGCCGCGUGAGUGAAGAAGGUUUUCGGAUCGUAAAACUCUGUUGUCAGAGAAGAACGUGUGCGAGAGUAACUGUUCGUGCAGUGACGGUAUCUGGCCAGAAAGCCACGGCUAACUACGUGCCAGCAGCCGCGGUAA
Molecule: ribosomal RNA, 524 nt
Filed under: uncultured bacterium
Lineage: Bacteria
Description: partial 16S ribosomal RNA
Rfam family: Bacterial small subunit ribosomal RNA
Source: RNAcentral